AGGAGCUACCGCGCCCGCCGCGAAUUGGAUCUCUAUGGAGGUGGCAUAGGCGAUAUCCCUGAGCUGAGAGCAUCGCCCGGCCCCCCGAAUCCUUCUUCCCUCUGUUUUGUUUUUCAUUUCUCCCCUUCCUCCCUUCCCCCCUCUCCCCUCCAGUCCGCGACGACUGGCUCUUGACCCCGUUCAGGCCUCGGUGAAGGCUUUUGGUUACUCCCCUUCCACCCUAUCCCUUAAUUUCAUUUUUUUUGAAGCGUCUGCGUUUCAAGCUGCCAAGGUGGAGAGAGUGAUUGCAGAAGGGAGUGCUCCUCAUUUCAGUUUCUGUAGGUCAGGAAUCCAGGCGCAGUUUAGCUCCAGACUCUGCUUCAGUGUCUCCCACGGCUGCAAUGAAGGUAUUGGCCAGGGCUACAGUCAUUUCAAGGCUCCACUGGGGAAGGAGCCACUUCCAAGCUCACUCCUGUUGCCAAGAUUCAGUUUUUCACAGGCUGCUGGACUGAGUGGGAGGCUGCCCUCAGCUCCAUGACACGUGGACCUCUCUAUAGUGCUGCUUACAACAUGCCAGCUGGCAUCAUCGAAGUGAGCAAAUGAGAGAGUGCCAGUAACGCAGCAGUCACAGACUUUUAUAACCUAUUUUGGAAGUGUUAUUCCAUCACUUUUCUUGUGUUCUGUUCAUUAAAGCAAGUCACUAGUGAACCAGGAUGCAGGCUUUCACCAGCCACCGAAUCUGCUGGCACCUUGAUCUUGGACUUCCCAGCCUCCAGAACUGUGCGAAAUAAAUUUCUGUUGAUUAUUAAAAAUAAAUAAAUAAAUAAAAUUUUUAAAAUGCAAGUUACUAGAUCCAGCCCAUAUUCAAGAGGAGAGAAUAUUACACAAAGGCAUGAAUACCAGGAGGGAAAGAUCACCUUGAGCCAUUUUAGAAGGCUGCCUUCUACAGGCUCAGAGUGUUCAAGUUGCUUAUCUAGUUUCACAAAGGUAAUAAGUAGCAAACCUGAGAUUCCAAAUCACAUCUGCCUGAUUACAGAGCCCACAGGGUUUCCAUCUACUACUCUUCUCCCAAUGAAUAUAUAGGAAUAAUUAUAGGGUUAGCAUAAACUAGUCUAGAAGUGGUUCUAAAGUGUUAAAAAUCUGUUCUCUAGGAUAGAAAAAGUCAUCUCCAUCCUAAUUGUUCUUCCUAGGAUUUUUCAUUCUAAUCAUUUUUUUCAUAGCUAGGACAAGUUAAACUGUUUUUCAUUCGUGCUCCACGGUACCAUAAACUCCAAAUUAGUGAUAUAAGAUUUUUCAUUAUUUAAAAAAACCUGCAAAGUGUAAGUUACCUCUCAGCAAUACUAUCUAAGGAAAAUAAUCUUGUGGGCACACUAGGGUUACUAAUAGACCUUUGGAGAGAGUAUCUUUCAAUUGUUAAUUUAUUCAGAGAGUCAUGGGAAAGGACAUAGACAUUUGUAAAUAACAAUAAAAGUGUAUACAAGGAGCUCUUAAGUUCAGAAAAGAAAUAUGGUUAAAGAAGUAUGAUUCAAAGAGUCAAAAACAGUUUGAGUCUUGAAACAUGAAAAGCAUGAAUCUGAGUUUACCAGGUGACCAGGACACAGAGUUAUUAAAAAAAAAAAAAAAAAACCAUGGCCUAGGAUUAUAAACAGAUUUGGAACUUGGGGGAUUCCCUGAAAGUCAGAGGGCAGAUGGGAUCAGAAUGGCAGAGCAAGAGUCAAAGACUUCAAUGUCAGAGGUAAAUGAUACAAGGAGUUGGGGGGUGGGCUGGGGGAAAGGCACAAUGUCCUAGAACAACCAUAAAGGGUAACUGGGAAAUGGAACUUGAAACCUCUGGUUGGGUUGGCUUCUCAGUCCAUUCACUUUUCAAAGCUAAAGUUAUCCUGAAAUGAUAUUUUACACUAGACUGUCACAGUGACUCUGGAAACUUGGGGCAGAUAAGUCAGGCAGUACUUCAGGUGGCUACAUCCAGGAAAGGAAACCUCAUUUCACAAACAGAAUUAUCAGCCACUGGUAUGCACCGUCCAAGAUUACAUUUUAUCCCUUCCUCACAAUCAUCAGAGCAAACUGUGAUAAACUGAAACUACCUCAGGCACAGAGAACAAGGAAUACCAAGGUGAGAACAAAAUCAAGAACAACCAAAUACCCAAGGAAGACCAAUACCAUGAAAGGGUGACACCAGUCAACAAACAAAAGAACUAACACCCAAGCAAGUAGUUAUUAGAAUAAACAGAGGAUCUUGGAAACAAUAAUUGUUAAUAUUUAUCUAGUGCAUACUAGGUGUGGUAUCAAGCAUUGUUCUCAUGUAUUUUUUUUUAAUAUUUAUUUAUUUGUCUGUGCCGGGUCUUAGUUGCAGCACACGGGAUCUUCAUUGUCAAGUGCGAUAUCUUCGUUGUGGCAUGCGGGAUCUUUAGUUGUGGCAUGCGAACUCUUAGUUGUGGCAUGCAAAUUCUUAGUUGCGGCAUGCAAACUCUUAGUUGCGGCAUGUGGGAUCUAGUUCCUUGACGAGGGAUCGAACCCGGGCCCCCUGCAUUGGGAGCACGGAGUCUUAGCCACUGGACCACCAAGGAAGUCCCUCUCAUGUAUUUUUUUAAAUUUAAUAUUUAUAUGGAGUAUCCCCAGAAGAAUAUGAGAGAGUAUUGCAUCUAACUUUCAUGAAAAAGAGCUAGUUUUAAAGAUGGUUGAAAAAUUAAAAGACAGUCUAAACAGUAAAUAGACUCUGAUGAAUAGCAAAAUGAAAGAAUAAGCUGAAGAAUUAUUUCAAAAGAACAAAGAUAUAAGGGCUUCCCUGGUGGCGCAGUGGUUGAGAGUCCGCCUGCCGAUGCAGGGGACACGGGUUCGUGCCCCGGUCCGGGAAGAUCCCACAUGGCGCAGAGCGGCUGGGCCCAUGAGCCAUGGCCGCUGAGCCUGCGCGUCCGGAGAGGUGAUUUAAGAAACAUGCAAGAUAAAUACAGAGAUUUCAGUAUCUCUCUCAUAAUUCCAAAGAAGAGGUAACAGAAAAUUGUAGGGCAGCAAUAACUAAAAAAAUAAUAGCGAAAAAUUCCUGGUAUGACUGGUGUAGUUUAGAAGAAAUGUUUAAUGCCACUUAAUGUAUUAAAAAAAUAAAGAAAUCAAACAUUA
Lagenorhynchus albirostris (white-beaked dolphin) is the source of this 3096-nucleotide RNA transcript. It is a transcript of the gene named zinc finger BED-type containing 5, with no coding region annotated. The transcript has 3 exons. The record is from RefSeq and is a predicted model, not a curated record. NCBI's taxonomy places the organism in Eukaryota, Metazoa, Chordata, Mammalia, Artiodactyla, Delphinidae.